UACGUAGGGUCCGAGCGUUGUCCGGAAUUAUUGGGCGUAAAGAGCUCGUAGGCGGUUUGUCGCGUCUGCCGUGAAAGUCCGGGGCUCAACUCCGGAUCUGCGGUGGGUACGGGCAGACUAGAGUGAUGUAGGGGAGACUGGAAUUCCUGGUGUAGCGGUGAAAUGCGCAGAUAUCAGGAGGAACACCGAUGGCGAAGGCAGGUCUCUGGGCAUUAACUGACGCUGAGACGCGAAAGCGUGGGGAGCAAACAGG
RNAcentral lists this ribosomal RNA (253 nucleotides) under uncultured bacterium. RNAcentral's name for it is "partial 16S ribosomal RNA". It matches the Rfam family "Bacterial small subunit ribosomal RNA", at positions 524 to 776 of the family's 1533-position model. The record is from RNAcentral.